This is a long non-coding RNA of Lycium barbarum (goji berry), 450 nucleotides long. RefSeq lists it as uncharacterized. The transcript has 3 exons. The record is from RefSeq and is a predicted model, not a curated record. NCBI's taxonomy places the organism in Eukaryota, Viridiplantae, Streptophyta, Magnoliopsida, Solanales, Solanaceae.
ACAAAACAAAAGCAAAAGCUCAACAAUCUAAAAAAUCUAGCUAGAACCAAGAACCAAGAACUAAGAACAGAGAACAAAUCUCUUCUCACAGCAACUCAGUCUCCUAGCUUAGCAAUCAGGUUUCCUUCAGCAUGUUGGCUUUGCUGCUUGUUCCCCUCUUUAGGGAUAAUUGUGCGGAGUUGAUCCAUAUCUGGCCAUCCAUAUGAGAAUUUGCCAACAACAGCAUGUUGUAGCUUCUCAAUCACGUUCAUCCGGGACACCUCUUCCUCUGUCCAUUUGAGAUAAGGCUUACCAUGAAGAUAAGAGAUUUUCUUCAUUUCAAUUGGUGGAACUGUGUAUUUCUGAUUUUGUGUAGUAGCAUUCAAAGUAGUAGGUUUCAAAAGUUCAGCAUACUGUAAUUUGUUCUCUCUCGGUUGUAAUAUCCCUUCCUCUUGAUGAAUUGUUGUAGUA